UUAACACAUGCAAGUCGAACGAUGAACCACUUCGGUGGGGAUUAGUGGCGAACGGGUGAGUAACACGUGGGCAAUCUGCCCUGCACUCUGGGACAAGCCCUGGAAACGGGGUCUAAUACCGGAUACUGACCCGCCUGGGCAUCCAGGCGGUUCGAAAGCUCCGGCGGUGCAGGAUGAGCCCGCGGCCUAUCAGCUUGUUGGUGAGGUAACGGCUCACCAAGGCGACGACGGGUAGCCGGCCUGAGAGGGCGACCGGCCACACUGGGACUGAGACACGGCCCAGACUCCUACGGGAGGCAGCAGUGGGGAAUAUUGCACAAUGGGCGCAAGCCUGAUGCAGCGACGCCGCGUGAGGGAUGACGGCCUUCGGGUUGUAAACCUCUUUCAGCAGGGAAGAAGCGCAAGUGACGGUACCUGCAGAAGAAGCGCCGGCUAACUACGUGCCAGCAGCCGCGGUAAUACGUAGGGCGCGAGCGUUGUCCGGAAUUAUUGGGCGUAAAGAGCUCGUAGGCGGCUUGUCGCGUCGGUUGU
Molecule: ribosomal RNA, 531 nt
Filed under: Streptomyces atrovirens
Lineage: Bacteria; Bacillati; Actinomycetota; Actinomycetes; Kitasatosporales; Streptomycetaceae
Also listed under: 1 other name
Description: bacterial SSU rRNA
Rfam family: Bacterial small subunit ribosomal RNA
Source: RNAcentral